CAGUAGCCACGGUAAUACAGAGGGUGCAAGCGUUAAUCGGAAUUACUGGGCGUAAAGCGCGCGUAUGUGGUUUGUUAAGUUGGAUGUGAAAGCCCCGGGCUCAACCUGGGAACUGCAUCCAAAACUGGCAAGCUAGAGUACGGUAGAGGGUGGUGGAAUUUCCUGUGUAGCGGUGAAAUGCGUAGAUAUAGGAAGGAACACCAGUGGCGAAGGCGACCACCUGGACUGAUACUGACACUGAGGUGCGAAAGCGUGGGGAGCAAACAGGAUUAGAUACCCCCGUAGUCCCUGUCUCUUAUAC
This 301-nucleotide ribosomal RNA is filed under the name uncultured bacterium. RNAcentral's name for it is "partial 16S ribosomal RNA". It matches the Rfam family "Bacterial small subunit ribosomal RNA", at positions 509 to 807 of the family's 1533-position model. The record is from RNAcentral.